AUUGAACGCUGGCGGCAUGCUUUACACAUGCAAGUCGAACGGUAACAGGCCUUCGGGUGCUGACGAGUGGCGAACGGGUGAAUAAUGCAUCGGAACGUACCCAGAGGUGGGGGAUAACGCAGCGAAAGCUGUGCUAAUACCGCAUGUGAUCUGAGGAUGAAAGCGGGGGACCGAGCAGCAAUGUUUGGCCUCGCGCCUUUGGAGCGGCCGAUGUCGGAUUAGCUAGUUGGUGGGGUAAAGGCCUACCAAGGCGACGAUCCGUAGCUGGUCUGAGAGGACGACCAGCCACACUGGGACUGAGACACGGCCCAGACUCCUACGGGAGGCAGCAGUGGGGAAUUUUGGACAAUGGGCGCAAGCCUGAUCCAGCAAUGCCGCGUGCGGGAAGAAGGCCUUCGGGUUGUAAACCGCUUUUGGCAGGAACGAAACGGUGUCCGCUAAUACCGGGCGCUAAUGACGGUACCUGCAGAAUAAGCACCGGCUAACUACGUG
This 492-nucleotide ribosomal RNA is filed under the name uncultured bacterium. RNAcentral's name for it is "partial 16S ribosomal RNA". It matches the Rfam family "Bacterial small subunit ribosomal RNA", at positions 29 to 507 of the family's 1533-position model. The record is from RNAcentral.